RNAcentral lists this long non-coding RNA (254 nucleotides) under Trifolium pratense (red clover). RNAcentral's name for it is "long non-coding RNA (TPRA_LNC012600)". Lineage: Eukaryota; Viridiplantae; Streptophyta; Magnoliopsida; Fabales; Fabaceae. The record is from RNAcentral.
UUUAUAUAUAGAUCAAAGAUACAAACAUUAUGCCUAUGUUUGGUGCGAGUUGAAUUGGAUUCGAAUUCGUUAAGUAAGGUAUCAAGUUUGAAUUUUGUGGAUGAAAAAAUUUGGUUGAGAGACCGAAUUGAUUGCGUUUUGCGAGGAACCGAAUUUCAUCUGAAAUUUUCGUAGGUAAUACCAAGAAUUCUUGUAGUGUCAAUAAAUGUGGUUAGAUAAGUUCUUAAACACAGAUAAGCCAUUCAGAAAGCCGG